UACGGAGGGGGCUAGCGUUGUUCGGAAUUACUGGGCGUAAAGAGCACGUAGGCGGACCAGAAAGUUGGGGGUGAAAUCCCGGGGCUCAACCUCGGAACUGCCUUCAAAACUAUUGGUCUUGAGUUCGAGAGAGGUGAGUGGAAUUCCGAGUGUAGAGGUGAAAUUCGUAGAUAUUCGGAGGAACACCAGUGGCGAAGGCGGCUCACUGGCUCGAUACUGACGCUGAGGUGCGAAAGCGUGGGGAGCAAACAGG
Molecule: ribosomal RNA, 253 nt
Filed under: uncultured Paracoccus sp.
Lineage: Bacteria; Pseudomonadati; Pseudomonadota; Alphaproteobacteria; Rhodobacterales; Paracoccaceae
Description: partial 16S ribosomal RNA
Rfam family: Bacterial small subunit ribosomal RNA
Source: RNAcentral